UUCGAAAUACAGGUGAACGGCAAUCAUGUGAUUAACGCACACACACAUAAAAAGCUUUUUAACAGCGCCCGCCCGGCCUCAGAACCGCCCGGAGAGAAGCCGCCUUGGAUGGACAGAGGGACUGAGCUACAAGCAUCCAGCCAGUCGUGUCCCGGCUCCUCUGCAGCGGUCUCCAACGUCCGCUGCUGCCCGCCCGCUGCCCGCCUGCCCGCCUGGCAUCUCUCUCCCGGACCACUGCCUGCCCACCCCAAAAGAGCCUAGUGCCUGGAAGGAGAGGGACAGGAACACUUAGGUGGAUUAGAAUCCCAGAGGCCGUGGCUCUGAGGAGGCUGGGCUCAGCGGCCAGACUCACUGACUGCUCCAUCUCUCCCACCCGCAUGGACAGAGCGUGUUCACAGGCUGGGAGUAUGUGUGUCCCUCUGUCUCUGCUCUGCUGGGCUUGCGUCCUAGGAAGGCAGAGGCAGCCGCGAACUUGAGGACUCGGCGGGAUAGGUGGUGAGGGGCUCUGGGAGAGUGGGGAGGGAGUUGAACAACUGUGGCCCUCAAAGAGAAGGGCUGUGAGUCAGGAUGGCUGGACACACUGAGGGAUCCUACUUCUGUCUGGAAGUUGAGGGUGAAAAGCUUCCUGGAGGAGGCACUAGAGAUGAGCUCCAAAUGAAGGCUGAGGUUCUCUUCAUGAGGGGCUGCAGGGUCGCCAUGUGACCAACAGGACACACCUGCCACAACUGCAAGGCAGGUCUGCUUCCCAAAGGACCACGUGCCAGUCCGGUCUCUGUGGUGUCUUGGUUCACAAAGAGGCUGCACUCGACAACACUCUGUUAAAGAUGUGUCUGUAUAAAUCUAUGCCUGGAGACGCUGUUGCAGUGUGUGUGAUAACAAAAGCCGGCUGUGACCUUAACAGUCAAGAGCCCAGGACGGGAACCCAAGGCAGAUCACGUUCACAUAACAGCGCGUUGUAGUGGUGGAAAAAUGACAUUCCUGUAGGAUUUUUAAUGUUGUAGAGAAGUGUCUAUGGUGUGAAACCCAGCACAUUUGCAGAUAUGUGCAUUCAGGUAGCUUCAACCAGGAGCAGUGAGGUCAAAGCCAACAGUGAGCCCUGCACGAAUCCACUGCAUUUAAACACGUGGAGAGAGAAAACAGGACAGGUUGGGGAGAUGACUCAAUUGGUGAUGUGCUUGCCGUGCAAACCUGAGGUCCUGAAUUUAAUUCCCAAAGCCCACAUGAGAAGGCCAGGCGUGAUAUCACAUGCUUGCAAUUCUCGACACUGGAAAACAGAACCCAGGCAGAGCCCCACGGGCAGCCGGCCUAGAAAACUUGUCAGGUUCUAGGCCAGUAAGAGUCCCUGUCUUAGAUAAGGACUGGCUCCACAAUGUUGUCCUCCAGCCUCCGUAUGCAUGUACGCACGAGUUCCCCAGGGAAGGUGGGAGAUUGCACAGACAUGCUUAUACACAUGAAAACAUUUUCCAGAAUGUAAUAGAGGGCUGGAGAGAUGGGUCAGUGAGGUACUUGCUGCUUUUGCAGAGGACCGGAGUUUGAUUUCCAGUACUUGUUUUGGGAGGCUCACAGUCACCUGUUACUCCACUCUGGCCUCUUUGCACACCCACUGAUGGAGGAGGGUUAUAUAAACACACACAUAAACAUCUUUUUUUUUUAAAAAAAUAAAAAUCUGGAACGACAAGAGAAAAAAAUUGAACCUUUAUUCUUGGGAUUAUGGAAUUUAGUGAGUUUUUUUAUCUAUUGAUUUACUAUUCUUUGAGGCAGGG
This is a non-coding RNA of Myodes glareolus (Bank vole), 1763 nucleotides long. NCBI's taxonomy places the organism in Eukaryota, Metazoa, Chordata, Mammalia, Rodentia, Cricetidae. The record is from RefSeq and is a predicted model, not a curated record.